RNAcentral lists this unclassified non-coding RNA (150 nucleotides) under uncultured fungus. Its description in RNAcentral is "sequence contains ITS1". The record is from RNAcentral. Lineage: Eukaryota; Fungi.
GUUUUAAAAUUAUUUAUUUUAAGGUUUUUUGUCACACAGGUCGUGUAAAAAAGGGGUUUGUUCACAGAUGUGGUGUAGAAAAUUGUGUAUGUGAGUUGUGAAGCUGACAUAUUUUCAUUAAUGAUCCUUCCGCAGGUUCACCUACGGAAA